Molecule: long non-coding RNA, 2602 nt
Filed under: Mus musculus (house mouse)
Lineage: Eukaryota; Metazoa; Chordata; Mammalia; Rodentia; Muridae
Description: long non-coding RNA chr1:158534806-158537408
Source: RNAcentral
AGAUCUGCCUGUCUCCACCUCCCUUGUGAUGGAAUCAUUGAUGUGCACUGCCUUUAAAACAACUCAGUUACACUACUUAGCAGUAUUUUUUAUUUUCUUUUUAAUUUUUUUUAUUUUUUGAAAUUAUAAUUUCAAUUUCCCACCUUCCUUUCCUAUACAACCCUUCCAAUAUGACCCUUCUACCUUGUUCUCACUCCCAAAUUCAUGGCUUCUUUAUCUUUAAUUGGUUGUUAAACAUAUGUAUAGUAUAUGUGUAUGUUUAUCUAUUCCUAAAUAUGUAAAUAUAACCUACUUAGUCAAUAUAAUAUUACUCAAAUGGUUUUAGGACUGAUGAUUGGUAUUGGAUAGCCAACAAAGUGACUCUUCCCAGGACAAAAGUACUUCUGAGUAGUCUUUGGCAUCCUGAAGUUCUUUGUUUAGCCUUGAGGCUGUCAGUUGGUGUUUUCCUGCUAGGACCUGGGAGUGUUUGGAUUUUGGAAAAUCGCAUGAUCAAUAGAUGGACCUUAAUAUAGAGAUCUGAACUGCUUCAGACAUCAGUAAAGCACAUGUGCCCCAUGGUCUCUAAGAGUGAGGAAGGGAGACCACAUGUCAUAUUCACCCUUCUAAGUGAUGAACUACUCUAGUUGUUUAUGUCUCUUAUCUAGUUUGACUAGUAACAGGUCAUAUUUACUAAGUGCUUUCUUGGUGGCAGGCAUUCUUUAUAAGUGCUUUAUGAACAUGCAUGCCUGUGAUCUUUUAGAAAUGAGGAAACCAGGACACAAGGGGUUACAUAAUUUGCAUGAGAUUCUACAGUAGGCCCAGAAGGAGGUAUGGUGACCUCAGAAGUCUGGCCAUAGGCUGUAUGUAAGACCUGAGGAUAAGUUUGACCCCAAAAAGAAACACUCAGCAAGGUCUCUCAAAGCAGCUCCUCCCAAGGUGGACCCAACAUCUUUCAUAGCACUACUGAACCACUGUUCACAUGGCCCUCUCCACUCAGGCUCAGGACAUUUCUUCCCUCUAGCUCUUCUAUUCUACAGUUUUUUUUUUCAAGCCCAAAUAACUGCUCCACCAUAAAAACCUUCCCAGAUCCCCAUUUGGAAGCCACCUCCAUCUUUGGUUGAAUCAAGCUUACUGUCCACUCUCCUAUGCCACUUUGUCUUGACAGUUGGUUAGUUAAUAAGGCUUUGGAACAAGGGCUUAUUAUUGAGAAUGCUUCCCAGAUAAACACAAUAGAUGUCCUAAAAACUUAAAUAACGGUUUCUAGGGCGGUUCCUGAUAUGGACUCACAGGAUAGAUAUUUGUGUGUGGGUCAUGAAGGAGGGACUGUUUUUGUUUGAUUGAUUGUUUGUUUGUGUGUUAUCUACUCUUUAGUGAUCCAGAAAUAUUCAGCUCUAGUUCAGUUCAGAGACAAGAAGUUUUAGUCUAUAUGGAGUUAAUCCAGAAGAACAUAAGAGUUAAGACUCUACCAAUCAUCCGAGUCCAAUUCUCCCUUAUUAACUACCUACUUCCCUCAAGCAACUCCCUAAGCUCACUGCAUCUCCACUUCCUCCCCUAUGAAUUAAUUAGUACUAACUGUUUCAUUGAGACCCCUUAAGAAGUGACAUCAUCACUCAGAGUUCACAGACUGGCUCUAAAAUUCACAAAGGCUCACAUCCUUGUAACAUUUGCAUUUGACCUAUGUGCAUCUCUUUAUAGUCUUUAAAUUAUCCCUAGCAUACUUCUAAUAUCCAAUUACACUGCAAACACCCGGUUGCUAUGUGCUAUGCUGUGUUGAUUAGGAAAUAACGAAAAGGAAAAGGCUGUGCUAUGGGUGAAGUUCUCUUCAGGUUGCAGAACUAGAAGGUUGUAAAUGACAGAAGCAGGGAAGGCAAAGGUGACUGGCUCCCAGAGAUGGUUGAUCACAGCCAUGCCAAUAGCAUUAAAUGGUUCUUCCUUUUAGAGUGAGGGGCUCUAGCAUCAGACACAGCAUUUUCUAGGGAAAUGGUUUUUAGAAGAGAGGCCUUGCUUUCACUGUUCAAAACUUUUAAACUUCAGCCUACUGUCUAGCAGGCCAUGGGCAGCCUGGGUUUUAUUUAGUUUGAUUUUUGACUUUUUUUUUUCUUUCUGCUGUUAGCUUCAAAGACAAUUCUGCUCUUCAAAAGCCCUGUCUCAGUCUUCUCCAGAUUGGGCUUUGCACUGGGCAGGGGAGGGUGCUGUUGGACACAGUAUUCUAAACUCAGGCCUCUUGCCUAAUUACACUGCAGUCAGCUUUUUCUAUGGAAGCCCCCAGCAUGGCAGAUGCCUUCUUUGAAGUCAUUAGUCUUCACAGCAGGGCGAGCACAUCAUCAAAGACUCUGUUUCCCAGCACCCCCUGCUGCACCCUUGUGCACCAGAGGAUUGGGGGGGGGGGGAGGAGAGCAGCAUAUACAUGCAUUAAGUCUACUGUUUUCUGGGCCUAAACCACAAAUCCUUUGAACUAAAAGCUCAGGGAGGAGGUCAUUGAUGAUCCUAUCUCAGAAUUUUUCCCCAUUCUCGCUAUCUUCAACCAAUUUAGAAAUUAAAUUUACUAUGGCCUGAGAUAUAGAAUGUAGGGCAUGGUUGGAGUUUGAGUUGGUAACCUAAGGCACUAUGAGAUAGGGGUUGG